Long non-coding RNA from Asterias rubens (European starfish), 861 nucleotides. RefSeq lists it as uncharacterized. Lineage: Eukaryota; Metazoa; Echinodermata; Asteroidea; Forcipulatida; Asteriidae. The transcript is spliced from 2 exons. The record is from RefSeq and is a predicted model, not a curated record.
AGAGUUCAGGUGUGCCCAAAAAAGAAGAAAGGUUCAAGAACUACAUCCGCUCAACAUUUCACAUGUCAGACUUAAAGAAACUGAGCGAUGUAUGGAGCUGGUACAAAGCCUCAUUGCAGAAAUGAACCCCCCCCCCUCCCCCCCUACACCUGGCUGCUACACAGAAUCAAGUCCUACUCACCCUGAGUCAUACCUGAAGAUUUCCUCUCUGUCACAAUCCCUUGUUCCCUUUCCUCGUCAGAUAAGAAGACAUUCAUUUCUUCAUGUGUUCUUCAAACUCCUUACAGAGAUCAGUGGCAAGCCAAAGGUAUUUUUAUGUUGGCCUUAACAAGAUACAAAUCAUAUUUUAGUUGUUUUCUUGCCCUUUAUUGUAUUCAUUACUUGCAACAGUGAAAAGGAAAAUUGUGGGUGUUUUUUGUGCAAGUAUUAUAAUUUGCAUUCCUUUUCUAUGGUACUAGGUUAACGUUCUGAAGAUAAUAAGUUGAUUUAAAAAGGUAAAUUGUGAAGACACAAUCAAGACAGUUUAAUAGUUGGUUACAAUACAUGGGAUAGGUUCCAAGUUCAUCAUGUCAAGUUGAUUAAUUUAUUUCAGCAUAUUUUGCUUGUAGCAUAUACAUGGACAAUUUAUGAUAUGUUGGUUUUUGGGGUCCUUAAUUAUGUGCUCGUUCAUAAGUAUUCAUUACUGUGUAAUUGUGUUGAGGAAGGCCAGUGUACCACAUCUUUGUUUAAAUCAUGAUAACUUAGAAUUCUUGAAAAUGCAAAUAUUAUUUAAAAUAUGGAGAUAAUCUCCAGGGUAAAAUACUUUGACUAUCAAAACAUAAUUAUUUUCUCAUGAAAUAAAAGUUCAUAAUUUUGCAUAAA